CCUACGGGAGGCAGCAGUGAGGAAUAUUGGUCAAUGGACGAGAGUCUGAACCAGCCAAGUAGCGUGAAGGAUGACUGCCCUAUGGGUUGUAAACUUCUUUUAUAAAGGAAUAAAACGAGGCACGUGUGCCUUUUUGCAUGUACUUUAUGAAUAAGGAUCGGCUAACUCCGUGCCAGCAGCCGCGGUAAUACGGAGGAUCCGAGAGUUAUCCGGAUUUAUUGGGUUUAAAGGGAGCGUAGAUGGGUUGUUAAGUCAGUUGUGAAAGUUUGCGGCUCAACCGUAAAAUUGCAAUUGAUACUGGCAGUCGUGAGUACAGUUGAGGUAGGCGGAAUUCGGGGUGUAGCGGUGAAAUGCUUAGAUAUCACGAAGAACCCCGAUUGCGAAGGCAGCUUACUAAACUGUGACUGACAUUGAUGCUCGAAAGUGUGGGUAUCAAACAGGAUUAGAUACCCCUGUAGUC
This 460-nucleotide ribosomal RNA is filed under the name uncultured bacterium. RNAcentral describes it as "partial 16S ribosomal RNA". It matches the Rfam family "Bacterial small subunit ribosomal RNA", at positions 338 to 795 of the family's 1533-position model. The record is from RNAcentral.